This 459-nucleotide ribosomal RNA is filed under the name uncultured bacterium. RNAcentral's name for it is "partial 16S ribosomal RNA". It matches the Rfam family "Bacterial small subunit ribosomal RNA", at positions 338 to 795 of the family's 1533-position model. The record is from RNAcentral.
CCUACGGUGGACAGCAGUGAGGAAUAUUGGUCAAUGGCCGGAAGGCUGAACCAGCCAAGCCGCGUGAAGGACGAAGGUGCCAAGCAUUGUAAACUUCUUUUGUCAAGGGACAAAAUCAGGCUCGAGAGCCUGACCGAGGGUACUUGAAGAAAAAGCAUCGGCUAACUCCGUGCCAGCAGCCGCGGUAAUACGGAGGAUGCGAAGGUUAUCCGGAUUUAUGGGGUUUAAAGGGUGCGUAGGGGGACUGUUAAGUCAGCGGGAAAAGCCCGGGGCUCAACCCCGGCGAGCCGUUGAAAAUGGCGGUCUGGAGAUGUCGAGAGGUAUGCGGAAUGCGCAGUGUAGCGGUGAAAUGCUUAGAUAUUGCGCAGAACUCCGAUUGCGAAGGCAGCAUACCGGCGGCGAUCUGACGCUGAGGCACGAAAGCGUGGGUAUCGAACAGGAUUAGAUACCCGGGUAGUC